This 441-nucleotide unclassified non-coding RNA is filed under the name Hevea brasiliensis (rubber tree). Lineage: Eukaryota; Viridiplantae; Streptophyta; Magnoliopsida; Malpighiales; Euphorbiaceae. The record is from RNAcentral.
UGGCUGAACUGCUGAAAUUUCUCAGGAAAUGAGGCAUGUUUUGUAAAUGUUGGAGGUGCAUAUUGUUCUUCUUUGCACCAAAAAGGGCUGUAUUAGACACAAUCAAUGGUGUUGGUGUGAUAAUGGUGCAGCUAUGCCUUGUAUCCAACAAAUCCAUGUCAUUCUUUAGGGUGAUGUAGGGAUGAGCCUGAUGUGUUCUUGGAGUAAGAGUGGACACACUGUGUAUUCCUUUCUGUGGUCAUGGAUUUCUUCCGCUUUGGAGGCAGGUCCAAUUUUUCCAGGGGAUAUCUUGUUGUGAACGAGGACUAGCUUUUAUGGCUUUGGUUGACNNNNNCGCCGGUAUGGCAGAUUAAUUUUCUCUGUAACCGGAAUUCAUAAUAGCACCUGUAGUGGUAACAGCUUUAUGAUUUUCAAUAAAUAUUAGGGUCGAUUCAUCCGUCA